Long non-coding RNA from Brassica napus (rape), 2687 nucleotides. RefSeq lists it as uncharacterized. The record is from RefSeq and is a predicted model, not a curated record. Lineage: Eukaryota; Viridiplantae; Streptophyta; Magnoliopsida; Brassicales; Brassicaceae. The transcript has 2 exons.
UAAUUUUACAAAAAAAGUAUGUACAUAUAUUAUCAAUUCAAACAACAUUAGAAUAAAUUAUUUUUAUUUUUAUGAAAUAUUUAAUAAUUAACGGAAUAUUAAUUUAAAUAUAUUAUAACUUUGUAAUACUGGUAAAUGUAUGCCCUUGCUUAAAAUCGCAUGUUUUACAGUGAUAUCUCACAUGCAACACAUUCCUCAAAGAAUCCACCAACUUCAGGAAGAGAUUUCGGUGCGCCCUAUCACGGUUUGUAUAAGAAGUGUUUGGGACAUCAGAAAAUACCAAACAUAUAAUACUCAAAUUUACAUCGGCUUCAUGUGCUACGACCACCACAUAAGCCUUUUAUUAAAACUUUAACAUAUACAUACAUAUAUAUGUAUUUUCCAAUCCAACAUAUUUGGUUUAAAAUACUCACUAUUUACUUAAUUGGUUCGGCACAACAAAAUUUGUUCACAUUCAGGGACAACUAUUAGAAGGUCAGCUCACCGGAAACAUUCAGCCAAAUGACCCAAAAAAUUUAACCGGGGGAGAUAUAUAUGAAUUUUCAGGAAAACAUAAUUCACGACAUCGAAAACUCACCCAACUGUCGUAUUACAUUCAGAUCGAUCAAAAGACAAUAACAUCGAAAGUUACAGACAUCGGUCCAAUAUUUCCAGUUCACAAUUUCUCUCCUCAGAAUUACAAAAAUCUAUUGCGCUUAGCCACUACACCCACCUACUUACCAGGUAAGUAAGUCAGUCCAAUAUCAAUUAAACAAACAUGGAUGUUUAUUCUAACUCAGAAUCAAUGUGCAGAUGUCGUCGGGCAGAUACUCAUAAUACAAAAAAUAAAUCUGUACCACCCAGAAUUCAAUACUGAUACCACGAUUGGUCUACGGCUGAACAUGUAAGUCUAACACAAUAGGUAAAACGAAAUCAUAAUUCUCUUCAUACAUACACCUCUAUCUCAGAUCGACAAUUGUUAAACUCAUACUGUGCGACAAGCAAGCGGCAGAUUUUAGCAUCAUAAAAAGCAAGAAGAAUAGGAAAUUUAAAGUUGUCAUCAUCACAAGCAUAAUUCCUAAACUUUUCCAAGGUAAAUAAUUUUUUUAAACACAUCAAAACAUAAUACAGAUCUAAUUAUGUUUUUUUAUCAAUGGAACAAUAAUAUCCAAUAUUUUCCAGGCAAACUACUACCCAGUUCAUCACCAUCAACAAAUUUCUACUUCAACAAAUCAAUUGAUUACAUAAAGCAUUUCAAAGGGCGAAUAAGAGAUCAUGCAUAAGCAUGCAACAAAGAGUGACUUUAAUUCAUGCAUCAUUCGGAUUAUUAUUUUCUUUCCCAUACAGCUUGAUACCUAGAUUUAUUUGCAUUUUAAACAAUUUUAUCAUUGUUUUUUUUUUAAGUCUCUACUUCUCUAUAAAAUCUAAAACUCAACUUCUGUCUUUCGAACUUUCUUAAGCAAUUUAAAUAUAUAGAGAAUAAAUUAAAAAGACAUAAUCGUGUCUUUAAGAUUUAAGAUUUAUGCACUUUCUUUAUAUAUUAAUUAUUGAAAAAAUAUAAUUUGCAUUCUCUAUUUUUUUUUUUUUAAAAACAAAUCAAUAGAUUUGUGCUGAAAAAAUUAUAUUAUCACAAUCUGCAUUUUAGAUCUGUACUAUUUAGACAUACAUAGCAUGGUGGAAACCUUAUCAAUUUAACAUAUUUAUUUGAAACAUAAAGCAACAUAAAGGUCUCUCAAAACUCCUGCACCGAUAGAGCUAUUCUCACUCCCCGGAAUGAAACAGUUGAUGAAAUCAAUGCAUACACAAUCUCCAACACUGACGGAGAGUCAAGAGAUUACUUCAGCUGCGAUAGCUUUGAGAUUUUGGAUACUCAAUCUGAUCAAAAUGAUGCAUUAUACGCGACUGAGUAUCUCAACUCUUUGGAAUUCUCAGGAUUGCCUUCUCAUAAUCUCACUCUCAAAGUUGGGGCCCCAGUUAUGAUUCUGCAAAACAUAAAUAAAAAAAGGAUUAUGCAAUGGUACCCGUAUGAUUCUAACCUACGUAGGCGAGCGAGUGCUUAAGGCAGAUAUAAUCACUGGCUCACACGUUGGACACGAAGUCUUGAUCCCAAGGAUUGUUCUCCUGCAUGAUGGAACAAAGUUACCGUUCACUUUACGUCGUAGACAAUUCCCUAUCAGAUUGUGUUACGCAAUGACAAUCAACAAAAGUCAAAGACAAAGUUUAAAGGAGGUUCUCUUAUAUCUGCCUAAACCAGUCUUCGCACAUGAGUAACUCUAUGUGGCCCUCUCACGUGUAACAAGCAAAUCAGGACUAAAAUUCAUUAAAGCCAAAGAUCAGCAUCCACAAAAAAUGAAGAACAUAGUCUACAAGGAGAUCUUCAACUAUCUCCGUUCCCAUGAAACGAUCAACAUAAACAGAUGAAAGCUAGAUAUCAUCUUGAUGAUUGUUAUCUCACUACUUCAAGGUAUGUCAACUUAUACUAUGAAAUAUAUAAGCGGAUUUCUAUUAUUAAUAUAUGUUCACUGAUUUACUUUUAAAUGAUUUCAGGCUCUCACUCAAAAAGAUCCCAUCACAUCCACACGACCUCUUCUUCGGUUUUUCACCAUCUUAUCUAUGAUUUCCACAUUCCAUGUUUUCUUUUUUUUCUGGUGAAUAAGAGUUUACAUGAGAUUAUUCGCAUACUUAUGCUAAAAGACAUGAUUUAUAUC